AUACGGAGGAUCCGAGCGUUAUCCGGAUUCAUUGGGUUUAAAGGGUGCGCAGGCGGCCGUGCAAGUCAGCGGUGAAAGCCCGGGGCUCAACCCCGGAAGUGCCGUUGAUACUGCGUGGCUGGAAUGCGGUCGAGGCGGGCGGAACGGGGCGUGUAGCGGGGAAAAGCGUAGAUAUGCCCCAGAACGCCGAUAGCGGAGGCAGCUCGCCAGGCCUGCAUUGACGCUCGGGCACGAAAGCGUGGGGAUCGAACAGGAUUAGAUACCCGGGUAGUCCACGCCGUAAACGAUGGGCGCUCGUCGUCGGCGGCAGACAGUCGGCGGCCAAGCGAAAGCGAUAAGCGCCCCACCUGGGGAGUACGGUCGCAAGGCUGAAACUCAAAUGAAUUGACGGGG
This 393-nucleotide ribosomal RNA is filed under the name uncultured bacterium. Its description in RNAcentral is "partial 16S ribosomal RNA". It matches the Rfam family "Bacterial small subunit ribosomal RNA", at positions 523 to 918 of the family's 1533-position model. The record is from RNAcentral.